RNAcentral lists this long non-coding RNA (642 nucleotides) under Homo sapiens (human). RNAcentral's name for it is "non-protein coding lnc-COMMD6-7:1". The record is from RNAcentral. Lineage: Eukaryota; Metazoa; Chordata; Mammalia; Primates; Hominidae.
AUGUGGAGUGAGCUGCUUAUUCCUGACCUAAAUGAAGUGAUGUAAUGAAUUCUGAAGAUGAACUCUUAGAGGAAGAUAAAGAUCAGAUAAUUAGAAAAACAAACCUCAGGUUUCUUUCCAAAUGGGCCAGAAAAAUGAAAGAGAGGUAAAUGUCAAUGCAUAUACAGAGUACACUUCUGAAAUUUCCUUAAAUAUGUAGAAUAAAUUUCAAGAAUUGCAUUAAAAACAUUCCAAACAUAAAACCUCAAGACUGAGCGGGGAGAAGAAAAUACUCAAAAAGAUAAAUUAAAGAAUAAAGAGGCAGCUCAUAGGGAAUGAUCAUUAAAUAAAGCCCAAUGGAAGGAGCUUAUUCAAUUUUGGCAUCAGUGAUGGGUUUGAAGAAAUAGAAAAAAGAAAAAAAAAUGAGUAAGUCAGGCCUUUGAGAGAAAAGCACAGAACAGUGUGUGGAGAGACGGAAUAUGAAGAAUAUUGAAGACUUUAGCAAGUAGCUUGGUGUCAAAAAUGUCAAAGCUGCUGCCUGCUACAACUUUGCGAAAGCCAAAAAGGAGGCUGCAAAUUCAUGAGUUACUCAGAAAAAGAAGAAACUUCCAUGGGGGGUUAAUGCAAAGAAUAGAUGGGAAACCAAAAACAACAUGGGAUAUA